CAUAGAAUGCCCAUUAUAGAACUAUAGUUUGUCUAUAGUUCCAAUGGAAUGGAACAGAGGGUCAGUAAGGCAGGGAGAGGACCAACACAAUGGCACUGAUCCUCAAGAAUAAAUCUCCAAGAACGCCUUGGCGUGGCCACUUCAGGACCCUUUCCUGCAGUGCGUGAAGCAGAUCCAGGUGCUGCUGGACGAGGUACCGUAAAGAGCCAGGGAAGAGGCUUGAAACAGAAUAGAGACGGAAUCACACAAACAAGGUGUAGAGAAGAAAGGACCCUACAAAAAUACAUGCAGCAGGGCCCAUUCUCCCAGCCAUCCAACAUACUGUGAGCACACCAGAUGCUGGAGCACUCCUGGGAAGAGAAACAGAAAGAGGAGGAGGAAGGGUGCCAAAAACAAUGUCUUAUUUGGCCAUUUUUCCCUUGACCCUAAUGCUAGAAAGGAAGGAGAGAGGGAAGCUUAAAUAAUUUAUAAAAUCCUGGUGAAUUGUCAAUUAAGUAAAUCCUUUUUAAAAUUUUGUUUUCUUUUAUCUUCUUUUGUUUCUUUUCUAUUAUUUAGUCCUUUAUUACCUGCACUACACAGAUGUAAAAGUAGGUAACUUUUGAAUUAAACUAUACAGUGUGUGAUCCACGGAAAACUUACAUCAUGCUACAUUCACCUGCAAGUUUUUGGCAAAUGUGAAUUUAUUAGUCAUUGAAAUAAGCCAGAAAAAAUGAAACAUACUGGUUUUGUCUUAAGCUUCCCUAGCCCUUCUCUCUCCUUGGUUCAAAUGAGUCACUGACCUGCUCUAGUACACAUCUUGGAAUCUUCGUAACUUCAUAACUUUAUCUUUUGUGAGUUCUUUCAUGCCUGGUUUGAAACUAAGGAAGUGGAAGCAGGGAAGAUAGAAGUGGAAAAUAAUGGAAUUGCUGGAAGAAAAGAAAACUAAGAGAAGAGUCACUUACCAGGAC
This 947-nucleotide long non-coding RNA is filed under the name Homo sapiens (human). RNAcentral describes it as "HSALNT0301858". Lineage: Eukaryota; Metazoa; Chordata; Mammalia; Primates; Hominidae. The record is from RNAcentral.